Molecule: long non-coding RNA, 618 nt
Filed under: Nicotiana benthamiana
Lineage: Eukaryota; Viridiplantae; Streptophyta; Magnoliopsida; Solanales; Solanaceae
Description: long non-coding RNA (NBEN_LNC014167)
Source: RNAcentral
UUUUAUAUAAAAUUUAUAUUUAAGUGGCAUGACAUUGUAGUUGCAUAUAAAUGUAUAGAAAUAUAUGUAUAUUGUAGAGAAGUUGUAAACACAAACAUUAUAACAUUUGUGUAGAGAGUACAUUGAAUACAAAUAGUGAAUGUUUUAUCAUUAAACAAUGGGAUUUGGCCAACCAAACUCUUCUUCUGACAUAUGCUUAAAAGUUGCCUAAUGACCUCAUUGAUUACUCAGUGAUUUUGCUGGUAAAAGAAAAACUCAUGUUAAGCUGCCGCUCUUUCUCGUCGUUCCUUGCAGUUAAUCAAUUUGUUGUAUUUUUUGGUCAAGUAAUAGGAAGAUAUUCAGUGCAACAAUGCCGUCUCUCUUUCUCGUCGAACAUACACAUUUGUCCUAUAUUUGCGCUCAACCUUGGCAAAAAUUUCUUGAGCAAACUGGCUUACGUUAGUUUCAUCACAGGAUGACAACAUUCCUGUAUCAACAAUAUGAGUGAUAUCCAGUACUGUCGUCGUUGAAUUGUGCCCUAGAGACCUCAAUUUCUCUCCAACUCACUUCUUCACAUCAAACGCCAUCUUAAUUUCGUAUGUGCCAACUUUGUGAUCAGAAAAGAUAAACCGAUUUUAU